UACCUUUUACAUCUGAGAUAAGUGUGGUGGGUGGGAUAGGAUAAGAUAUGUGUAAUUGGUUCUUAAGAUACCAUAUCUAUAUCUAGCUGUAGACCCCUCAUGCUGCACCCGAGAAGUGUGGGGGGGACCCCUCUCCAUGCGUGGGACCAGCUGCAAGAGACGCCAUGCUGCUGACUGCUGAAACAGGAAAGCAGGUGAUGGCUUGCCGAGAAGAUAGGAGAAAGGGAAAAGAAGGAGAACGGAGAGAGGGGCUAGGAGAAAAGGAGAGAUUCAAAGAGGAAGAGAGGAAAAAAAAAAGAAAGCUGGAAGGAGGAGGGGUGCCUUUGCUGCCACACAGAAGAAACUCUCUGGGUUCAUAGAAUCAUGCUCUUGUCCCAUGUUUAUGAUGCCUGCCCCCAGCUCUAUUGACUACCCAUGAAAUAUAGCUAGGUUCACUCUAUAUUUCCAUGCUUUUCUUCCUCUCUUUAUCACUCUGUUUUUGACUGAUUGGUGGAGCAAUGCCUUCACUAACCAACCUGCCGAGGUUCAGUGAACCAGGUCGUUCAUCCACCUCCCAUCCUCUCAAAAAUCUUCAUGAACUUCUCACUUGCACUUACCGAACUUCUCACACCCGCUUUCUCUCAUUAAACUCCUCAUACCCAUCCCACCACUUUGUGAUUCAUAUCUCCAUUAUCACCAGCCGUCCAUGCUAUCAAUAAUGUCCCCACUCAUCUUCAUACCCAUUUGUUUCACCAUCUUGGAUUCCCAUGCAAGCGGUGCCCCAUGCACGCGAGCCGCCCCAUCCUUCAUUUUUUUUUCUUUGCUGCAAGCACCCCGGGACUGCCGCCACUGCUCCUCACCAACCGCCAUCACCGCUCCAGCCAUGUGGGCACUUGCACCAGCCACCGUGACGGCGGCACCUUCUGGAUGCCGCCGGACCGCCGCCACGACUUCUCUCUCCAUCUUGCCGCCGGUGGUGGGAGCUCCCUUUGAGGAUGAUAUUCGGGUGGAGAAGCAAGCUGGAGGAAGAUGAAGUUUUGGGCUUGGGUUUGAGAUGGGUUUUUGAGCCCGCCCAUGGUAGCUUUGGAUUUGGGCUUGGGUUGGAGCACCAGCCCAAGUUUGUGAUCAAGUCAGCCCAUUGGGCUUGCCCAUAGCAUGGAUGUGGACUUGAGUUUGGAGCCCAGCCCAAGCUUGUUGAUGGGGGGGCCUCAUGGCUCCUCAAGCUAGCCACCCUCAUGGCCCAAGCCCAUGUUGAGCUAGCCCAUUUGGUUGCCUCAAUUCCAAAAAGAAAUAAAUCUCUCUAUACCUCUAAUCUUUCAAAAAUCCCAUGGCUUAAUUUAAUUUUUCAAUAAUUAAUUCAAAUAUCAUUUUCAUC
Molecule: long non-coding RNA, 1354 nt
Organism: Vitis vinifera (wine grape)
Lineage: Eukaryota; Viridiplantae; Streptophyta; Magnoliopsida; Vitales; Vitaceae
Exons: 2
Source: RefSeq, a predicted model, not a curated record